GGUUUCGUAGCGCAAUGGCAGCGCGUUGCUUUCCGGUUCUCCAGCUGGCAAAGGUUCUGGGUUCGAAUCCCAGCGAGAUCG
This is a non-coding RNA of Chaetomium tenue, 81 nucleotides long. Lineage: Eukaryota; Fungi; Ascomycota; Sordariomycetes; Sordariales; Chaetomiaceae. The record is from the annotation of a GenBank genome assembly.